Callithrix jacchus (white-tufted-ear marmoset) is the source of this 944-nucleotide long non-coding RNA. The record is from Ensembl. NCBI's taxonomy places the organism in Eukaryota, Metazoa, Chordata, Mammalia, Primates, Cebidae.
AGUCUCAGUCUGUUCCCAGGCUAGAGUGGAAUAGCGUGAUUUUGGCUCAUUGCAAUCUCUGAGUCCUGGGUUCAAGUGAUUCUCCUGCCUCAGCCUCCCAAGUAGCUGGGAUUACAGGCACUCAACACCAUGCCCAGGACAUGAGAAACAUUUUACCUUGGCAAUGUAGCAAAGUUUGAAGAGAUAGGCCACCCAAGAAAAGGUACAGAAUGAGGUGGAACUGCGAGGGAGAUGAAAGCAGAAAUAUCUGGUCGGGUGCGAUGGCUCAAGCCUGUAAUCCCAGCACUUUGGGAGGCCGAGGUGGGUGGAUCAUGAGGUCAAGAGCUCGAGACCAUCUUGGUCAACAAGGAAUUGGCCUACAUGUUUAUGGAAGUUUGCAGGAAAGUGCUAGCAAAGAGAAAGAAGCAAAGUCUCACUCCAAGGAGAUGCCUUCGAAGUCCACUUUGUUCCCUGGGUUCACCUGUAUUCUCAGGCAAACUGCUACCAUGAAACUCCCCACACAAGAUGUGAAAGCCAAGAGGAAAGAGUUGAAGGUUCUGAAGAAGCUUCCAUGUGGUGAGAGAGUACAUGGAGGGGGCCAUACGAAGGGGGCCAUGUGGCAAGGAACUGUAGCUGCCACUGAGUGCUUCGAGCAAUCCCUGACCAACAGUAAGAACAUAGAACCACAGUGCAACAGUUGCAAAGAGAUGAAUUUUGUUAACAACAUGAAGAUGUUGGAAAUGGAUUAUUCUCUAGUCCAGGCUAUGAUCACCACAGCCCUGGUCAACACCUGAAUUUCAGCCUGGUGAGACCCUGGAGCAGAGAACUCACCUAGGAUAUGCCUGACUUCUGUCUUACAGAAACACAAAAAUAAUAAAUGUGUGCUAUUUUAAGCUGCAAAUUUGUGAUAAUUUACUACAAAGUAUAGAAAACUAAUGCAAUAUCUCUUUUCUUUCUGCAACAUA